Papaver somniferum (opium poppy) is the source of this 211-nucleotide long non-coding RNA. RefSeq lists it as uncharacterized. The record is from RefSeq and is a predicted model, not a curated record. The transcript is spliced from 3 exons. Lineage: Eukaryota; Viridiplantae; Streptophyta; Magnoliopsida; Ranunculales; Papaveraceae.
AGGAUGAGGGCUUACUGUCUUGGACGAAACUGAAGAUGCACUUUUAUGUUUUGGGUUAUAUGGAAAACCAAUACAUUUCAGGUAGUUUCCUUGAAAAGUCUUAGUGUAAGAUCUGGAAUACAUGCGUCACGCAGUUGAAGUUGUGCCAGGUUGCAGAUAACUUCAUAAAAGCUGGUGGCUUAUUUGUGGUGGUGGAGGUGCAGGUUUUGGA